CUUCAGCUAAGUUUCUCUCCCUUAGAAUCAGAUCCCGUUUGGUUUCAGGAGGCAGACACCAUAUUGACAUUUAAGAGUGUUCCUGGCUCUGGAGCUGUAGCAUCUGGAUCUGUGGUUGUGGGCUCCCUGGUGCCCCGAUGUUCCUGCUCGACACCCACUGCUACAAUUAACAGAUGACCGCUCACCCUGAGUGAAGGUAUUGCUUAGGUUUCUACCUGUAAAAAGGUCACCAAGUGCUUGCUCGUGGAGAAAAUUGCCACAAAGAGUUUGGUCCAAACCUGAUCUACAUGAAAAGUGCAAUGAGAUAACUUCUGUUGUGAAGUGUGCUAUAAAAAUAAAAUUAUAAAGUGCUACCAA
Micropterus dolomieu (smallmouth bass) is the source of this 357-nucleotide long non-coding RNA. RefSeq lists it as uncharacterized. NCBI's taxonomy places the organism in Eukaryota, Metazoa, Chordata, Actinopteri, Centrarchiformes, Centrarchidae. The record is from RefSeq and is a predicted model, not a curated record. The transcript has 2 exons.